GACGAACGCUGGCGGCGUGCUUAACACAUGCAAGUCGAACGGAAAGGCCCUGCUUUUGUGGGGUGCUCGAGUGGCGAACGGGUGAGUAACACGUGAGUAACCUGCCCUUGACUUUGGGAUAACUUCAGGCAACUGGGGCUAAUACCGGAUAGGAGCUCCUGCUGCAUGGUGGGGGUUGGAAAGUUUCGGCGGUUGGGGAUGGACUCGCGGCUUAUCAGCAUGUUGGUGGGGUAGUGGCUUACCAAGGCUUUGACGGGUAGCCGGCCUGAGAGGGUGACGGGCCACAGUGAGACUGAGAUACGGCCACGACUCCUACGGGAGGCAGCAGUGGGGGAGAGUGCACAAUGGGCGGAAGCCUGAUGCAGCAACGCCGCGUGCGGGAUGAUGGCGUUCGGGUUGUAAUCCGCUUUCGCCUGUGACGAAGCGGGAGUGACGGUAAUGGGUAAAGAAGCACCGGCUAACUACGUG
This 468-nucleotide ribosomal RNA is filed under the name uncultured bacterium. RNAcentral's name for it is "partial 16S ribosomal RNA". It matches the Rfam family "Bacterial small subunit ribosomal RNA", at positions 28 to 507 of the family's 1533-position model. The record is from RNAcentral.